UAUUACACUCGUCCCGGCCUCC
This 22-nucleotide microRNA is filed under the name Gorilla gorilla (western gorilla). Its description in RNAcentral is "ggo-miR-92b". Its record names the gene ggo-miR-92b. Lineage: Eukaryota; Metazoa; Chordata; Mammalia; Primates; Hominidae. The record is from miRBase by way of RNAcentral.